This is a non-coding RNA of Bactrocera oleae (olive fruit fly), 524 nucleotides long. The record is from RefSeq and is a predicted model, not a curated record. NCBI's taxonomy places the organism in Eukaryota, Metazoa, Arthropoda, Insecta, Diptera, Tephritidae.
GACUGUGUAUUAGCUGCAAAUUGUUCAAUUCAUAAAUACUGAGGGUUUACAGUAAUCGAUCAAUAGAAAACAAUAAUUGCGUAGUUCUUGCGUCACAAGUCUUAAGUUCGCUCAAUAUUCCCAUUGGCGUUGUUUUUAUACACUAAGCAGAGUGUUAGACCAGUGCAGAAGCCUUUGAAAAUGCCUGUCCAGCCCGUUCACUUACACACUAAGUACAUCCCCCAAAAUGUAUCAAAAACCACAUAAUGCUUGCAUAAGCGAUUGUCUAUUAGCGAUAAAUAACAAUUAUUCAGCGCCUACAAAGCAUAACGCACAGCAACAACUAGCAAUCGCUGAAUAGAGAAGGUGAAUUGCUGGAUUUUUUGUCUUUAAUCCCGGGACGGCCGGGACGCUUAACUUGGAGCCCGGACGAAUGGUCAGCUAAACCUAACCUCACAAUUGUUACAAUUUUUCCGACUUCAUCGAUUAAGUAUGAACUAACGAAAUCUUACCUAAUAUUUCAUAUAAAAGCUGAAAAGAUUUUU